AGCAGCCGCGGUAAUUCCAGCUCCAAUAGCGUAUAUUAAAGUUGUUGCAGUUAAAAAGCUCGUAGUUGAAUUUCGGGGUCAGUAGGUUGGUCGUGCCACUGGUAUGUACUAGCCUCACUGAUUCCUCCUUCCUGAUGAACCGUAAUGCCAUUAAUUUGGUGUUGCGGGGAAUCUGGACUGUUACUUUGAAAAAAUUGAGUGUUUAAAGCAGGCUAACGCUUGAAUACAUUAGCAUGGAAUAAUGGAAUAGGACGUUCGAUCCUAUUUUGUUGGUUUCUAGGAUUGACGUAAUGAUUAAUAGGGAUAGUUGGGGGCAUUAGUAUUCAAUUGUCAGAGGUGAAAUUCUUGGAUUUAUUGAAGCUAACUACUGCGAAAGCAUUUGCCAAGGAUGUUUCAUUAAUCAAGAACGAAAGUUAGGGAUCGAAGACGAUCAGAUACCGUCGUAGUCUUAACCAUAAACCUAUAGCCACUAGGGAUCGGGAUGGAUGUUAAUUUUUAAUGUACUCAUUCGGCGUCCUUA
Molecule: ribosomal RNA, 520 nt
Filed under: uncultured Glomus
Lineage: Eukaryota; Fungi; Glomeromycota; Glomeromycetes; Glomerales; Glomeraceae
Description: SSU rRNA
Rfam family: Eukaryotic small subunit ribosomal RNA
Source: RNAcentral